RNAcentral lists this ribosomal RNA (468 nucleotides) under uncultured bacterium. RNAcentral's name for it is "partial 16S ribosomal RNA". It matches the Rfam family "Bacterial small subunit ribosomal RNA", at positions 28 to 507 of the family's 1533-position model. The record is from RNAcentral.
GACGAACGCUGGCGGCGUGCUUAACACAUGCAAGUCGAACGGAAAGGCCCUGCUCUUGUGGGGUGCUCGAGUGGCGAACGGGUGAGUAACACGUGAGUAACCUGCCCUUGACUUUGGGAUAACUUCAGGAAACUGGGGCUAAUACCGGAUAGGAGCUCCUGCUGCAUGGUGGGGGUUGGAAAGUUUCGGCGGUUGGGGAUGGACUCGCGGCUUAUCAGCUUGUUGGUGGGGUAGUGGCUUACCAAGCCUUUGACGGGUAGCCGGCCUGAGAGGGUGACCGGCGACAUUGGGACUGCGAUACGGCCCAGACUCCUACGGUAGGCAGCAGUGGGGAAUAUUGCACAAUGGGCGGAAGCCUGAUGCAGCAACGCCGCGUGCGGGAUGACGGCCUUCGGGUUGUAAACCGCUUUCGCCUGUGACGAAGCGUGAGUGACGGUAAUGGGUAAAGAAGCACCGGCUAACUACGUG